This 484-nucleotide ribosomal RNA is filed under the name uncultured bacterium. Its description in RNAcentral is "partial 16S ribosomal RNA". It matches the Rfam family "Bacterial small subunit ribosomal RNA", at positions 29 to 507 of the family's 1533-position model. The record is from RNAcentral.
AUUGAACGCUGGCGGCAGGCCUAACACAUGCAAGUCGAGCGGAUGAAGGGAGCUUGCUCCUGGAUUCAGCGGCGGACGGGUGAGUAAUGCCUAGGAAUCUGCCUGGUAGUGGGGGAUAACGUCCGGAAACGGGCGCUAAUACCGCAUACGUCCUGAUGGAGAAAGUGGGGGAUCUUCGGACCUCACGCUAUCAGAUGAGCCUAGGUCGGAUUAGCUAGUUGGUGGGGUAAAGGGCUACCAAGGCGACGAUCCGUAACUGGUCUGAGAGGAUGAACAGUGACACUGGGAAUGAGAAACGGUCCAGAAUCCUACGGGAGGGACAAAGAGGGAAGGUUCGGCAAUGGGGGGAAGACUGACACAGGCAGGGCCGGUGUGUGAAGAAGGGUUUCGGGUUGUAAAAAUCUGUAAGUUGGGAAGAAAGGCAGUAAGAUUAAAACUUGCCGUUUUGACGGUAACAAAAAAAAAAGCCACGGCUAACUUCGUG